RNAcentral lists this ribosomal RNA (420 nucleotides) under uncultured bacterium. RNAcentral's name for it is "partial 16S ribosomal RNA". The record is from RNAcentral.
CGUUAGUUGGAACCCACACCUAGUGCCCACCGUUUACGGCAUGGACUACCAGGGUAUCUAAUCCUGUUUGCUACCCAUGCUUUCGCUCCUCAGCGUCAGUUUCAGUCCAGAGCGGCGCCUUCGCCACCGGUGUUCCUCCUAAUAUCUGCGCAUUUCACCGCUACACUAGGAAUUCCCCGCUCCCCUCCUGAACUCAAGUCACAGCAGUAUCGGAUGGCCUCUCCGGGUUGAGCCCAGAGUUUUAACACCCGACUUACUAAACCGCCUACGAGCUCUUUACGCCCAAUAAAUCCGGACAACGCUUGGAGCCUACGUGUCACCGCGGCUGCUGGCACGUAGUUGGCCGCUCCUUCUUCUGCAGGUACCGUCAUUUUCGUUCCUGCUGAAAGCGGUUUACAGCCCGAAAGGCUUCAUCCCCGC